RNAcentral lists this ribosomal RNA (253 nucleotides) under uncultured bacterium. RNAcentral describes it as "partial 16S ribosomal RNA". It matches the Rfam family "Bacterial small subunit ribosomal RNA", at positions 524 to 776 of the family's 1533-position model. The record is from RNAcentral.
UACGGAGGGCGCAAGCGUUGUUCGGAAUCAUUGGGCGUAAAGCGCGUGUAGGCGGCCUUUUAAGUCGGAUGUGAAAGCCCGGGGCCCAACCCCGGAAUUGCAUUCGAUACUGAUUGGCUGGAGUCCCGGAGAGGAAGGCGGAAUUCCCGGUGUAGGGGUGAAAUUCGUAGAUAUCGGGAGGAACAUCAGUGGCGCAGGCGGCCUUCUGGACGGUGACUGACGCUGAGACGCGAAAGCGUGGGGAGCAAACAGG